This 1261-nucleotide long non-coding RNA is filed under the name Junco hyemalis (dark-eyed junco). RNAcentral describes it as "lncRNA (ENSJHYG00000006425.1)". The record is from RNAcentral. Lineage: Eukaryota; Metazoa; Chordata; Aves; Passeriformes; Passerellidae.
AUGCACCAGCCCAGUGCUGAGGAGCAGGUCUCUGCAGGAAAUGCAGCUCCAGGCCAGCAGCCUGGGAGCCAGACACCCCUGGAGCCAGCAGAGCCAGAGCGUGGGGCCAGGCGUGCAUCCCGCAGAUGGGUGGAGGACAUGUGGGCACAGAGCGUGGCUGGACACGGACAGGGUGACAGCAGAAGCCAGGAAGGGGACAGCCAAGCUCUGGCCAGCACAGGGCUGCUGGAGGAGCCAUCCCAGAGCAAAGUGUCACAGCCACGGCCCGGGUGUGACAGCGUGAGUGGGAGCCCGCAGGGUCCCUGCACAGGGCCAGCUCUACUGCCAGCACUGGUGCCACCGAGCCCCUCUCCUCCCCUGCAGGCUGGGAGGCGGUGCCAGCCGUGCCCACUCCCGGAGGUGCAGCGGGCCCUGGCCAGGGCACGGCGGCAGCGGCUGCGGGCUCAGCACUGCCGGCAGCGCCAGCGGGAGCUCGGGGCCGGCUCUGUGCCAGCCCGGGAGCACAGCGGAGAGGUGAGCACAGGCAAAGCCCAGCACUGCGAGCUCCUAGGGCAGCCCAAGGGAGCAGGGACACCCCGGAGCUGCUCUGACCGUGUCCCUGUCCCCGCAGCGGGACACAGAGCGCUGGCAGCGGGAGGUGACCGCGCUGGGCCUGAGCCUGGAGGCAGCGCUGCGGGAGCGGGAGGCGGCCGAGUGGGAGCUGGAGGCUCUGCUGCUCAACCACCACCGGGAGAUGCAGGGCUGCCGACAGCACCUGCUGCAGGUGGGCAGGCCGGGCUGGGGACACCUCUCCCUCUCACACUGUGCCAGGGCUGUGCAGGGCUGUGCCAGACCGCCCCGGGCACCCCCAGGUGCUCCGGGACCAGCAGCGCCUGGCGGAGGAGCAGCGGGCGGGCCUGGAGCGCCGGCACCGGGAGCGGCUGCAGGAGGCGCUGCGGGAACUCGCCGAGCACAAGCAGCUCCUGAGGGACACCCCACGGGCAGGCACGGCCGGUGCCACCUCACAGACACCCUGAGGCACGGCCGGGCGUGGGGACAGCUGGCCUGGCACGACUGGGUCCCUGCACCGAGCCAGCAGCCAUGCCAGGAUACCGGGCAGCCCCAGGCACAGGAGUUAUCCCAGGCCUCUGGCUGUGCUCCCGAGGGAAAGCCUGCUCUGUGCUGGGACCCUGCCUGUGGGAGCACAGCUCAGCCUGCUGGGAGGCAGGCUUUGUUCUCCACACAGAAUAAAGUGGGUGCUCCUCAGCCGUGAGUGGUGUCA